This 301-nucleotide ribosomal RNA is filed under the name uncultured bacterium. RNAcentral's name for it is "partial 16S ribosomal RNA". It matches the Rfam family "Bacterial small subunit ribosomal RNA", at positions 509 to 809 of the family's 1533-position model. The record is from RNAcentral.
CAGCAGCCGCGGGAAUACGGAGGGAGCUAGCGUUGUUCGGAAUUACUGGGCGUAAAGCGCGCGUAGGCGGUUACUCAAGUCAGAGGUGAAAGCCCGGGGCUCAACCCCGGAACUGCCUUUGAAACUAGGUGACUAGAAUCUUGGAGAGGUCAGUGGAAUUCCGAGUGUAGAGGUGAAAUUCGUAGAUAUUCGGAAGAACACCAGUGGCGAAGGCGACUGACUGGACAAGUAUUGACGCUGAGGUGCGAAAGCGUGGGGAGCAAACAGGAUUAGAUACCCGUGUAGUCCCUGUCUCUUAUAA